This 275-nucleotide ribosomal RNA is filed under the name uncultured bacterium. RNAcentral's name for it is "partial 16S ribosomal RNA". It matches the Rfam family "Bacterial small subunit ribosomal RNA", at positions 30 to 307 of the family's 1533-position model. The record is from RNAcentral.
AUUGAACGCUGGCGGCAUGCUCAACACAUGCAAGUCGAACGGUAACAGGCCCUUCGGGGUGCUGACGAGUGGCGGACGGGUGAGUAAUGCUUAGGAAUCUGCCUAGUAGUGGGGGAUAACCCGGGGAAACUCGGGCUAAUACCGCAUACGCCCUACAGGGGAAAGCGGGGACUUUCGGCCUCGCGCUAUUAGAUGAGCCUAAGUCCGAUUAGCUAGUUGGUAGGGUAAUGGCCUACCAAGGCGACGAUCGGUAGCUGGUCUGAGAGGACGACCAG